RNAcentral lists this ribosomal RNA (427 nucleotides) under uncultured bacterium. RNAcentral describes it as "partial 16S ribosomal RNA". It matches the Rfam family "Bacterial small subunit ribosomal RNA", at positions 355 to 774 of the family's 1533-position model. The record is from RNAcentral.
UGGGGAAUAUUGCACAAUGGGCGCAAGCCUGAUGCAGCCAUGCCGCGUGUAUGAAGAAGGCCUUCGGGUUGUAAAGUACUUUCAGCGGGGAGGAAGGUGUUGUGGUUAAUAACCUCAGCAAUUGACGUUACCCGCAGAAGAAGCACCGGCUAACUCCGUGCCAGCAGCCGCGGUAAUACGGAGGGUGCAAGCGGUAAUCGGAAUUACUGGGCGUAAAGCGCACGCAGGCGGUCUGUCAAGUCGGAUGUGAAAUCCCCGGGCUCAACCUGGGAACUGCAUCCGAAACUGGCAGGCUUGAGUCUUGUAGAGGGGGGUAGAAUUCCAGGUGUAGCGGUGAAAUGCGUAGAGAUCUGGAGGAAUACCGGUGGCGAAGGCGGCCCCCUGGACAAAGACUGACGCUCAGGUGCGAAAGCGUGGGGAGCAAACA